This 869-nucleotide ribosomal RNA is filed under the name Bacillus inaquosorum. Its description in RNAcentral is "bacterial SSU rRNA". It matches the Rfam family "Bacterial small subunit ribosomal RNA", at positions 71 to 923 of the family's 1533-position model. Lineage: Bacteria; Bacillati; Bacillota; Bacilli; Caryophanales; Bacillaceae. The record is from RNAcentral.
GAUGGGAGCUUGCUCCCUGAUGUUAGCGGCGGACGGGUGAGUAACACGUGGGUAACCUGCCUGUAAGACUGGGAUAACUCCGGGAAACCGGGGCUAAUACCGGAUGCUUGUUUGAACCGCAUGGUUCAAAYAUAAAAGGUGGCUUCGGCUACCACUUACAGAUGGACCCGCGGCGCAUUAGCUAGUUGGUGAGGUAACGGCUCACCAAGGCAACGAUGCGUAGCCGACCUGAGAGGGUGAUCGGCCACACUGGGACUGAGACACGGCCCAGACUCCUACGGGAGGCAGCAGUAGGGAAUCUUCCGCAAUGGACGAAAGUCUGACGGAGCAACGCCGCGUGAGUGAUGAAGGUUUUCGGAUCGUAAAGCUCUGUUGUUAGGGAAGAACAAGUACCGUUCGAAUAGGGCGGUACCUUGACGGUACCUAACCAGAAAGCCACGGCUAACUACGUGCCAGCAGCCGCGGUAAUACGUAGGUGGCAAGCGUUGUCCGGAAUUAUUGGGCGUAAAGGGCUCGCAGGCGGUUUCUUAAGUCUGAUGUGAAAGCCCCCGGCUCAACCGGGGAGGGUCAUUGGAAACUGGGGAACUUGAGUGCAGAAGAGGAGAGUGGAAUUCCACGUGUAGCGGUGAAAUGCGUAGAGAUGUGGAGGAACACCAGUGGCGAAGGCGACUCUCUGGUCUGUAACUGACGCUGAGGAGCGAAAGCGUGGGGAGCGAACAGGAUUAGAUACCCUGGUAGUCCACGCCGUAAACGAUGAGUGCUAAGUGUUAGGGGGUUUCCGCCCCUUAGUGCUGCAGCUAACGCAUUAAGCACUCCGCCUGGGGAGUACGGUCGCAAGACUGAAACUCAAAGGAAUUGACGGGGGCCCG